RNAcentral lists this ribosomal RNA (377 nucleotides) under uncultured eukaryote. RNAcentral's name for it is "partial 18S ribosomal RNA". It matches the Rfam family "Eukaryotic small subunit ribosomal RNA", at positions 592 to 976 of the family's 1831-position model. The record is from RNAcentral.
CAAUAGCGUAUAUUUAAGUUGCUGCAGUUAAAAAGCUCGUAGUUGGAUUUCGGGUGGGAAUGGCCGGUCCGCCGUUUCGGUGUGCACUUGCUACGCCCACCUUGCUGCCGGGGACGUGCUCUUGAGUUCACGCUCGGGACACGGAGUCGGCGAGGUUACUUUGAGUAAAUUAGAGUGUUCAAAGCAGGCCUACGCUCUGAAUACAUUAGCAUGGAAUAACACGAUAGGACUCUGGCCUAUCUUGUUGGUCUGUCGGACCGGAGUAAUGAUUAAGAGGGACAGUCGGGGGCAUUCGUAUUUCAUUGUCAGAGGUGAAAUUCUUGGAUUUAUGAAAGACGAACUACUGCGAAAGCAUUUGCCAAGGAUGUUUUCAUUAA